Molecule: long non-coding RNA, 404 nt
Organism: Maniola jurtina (meadow brown)
Lineage: Eukaryota; Metazoa; Arthropoda; Insecta; Lepidoptera; Nymphalidae
Exons: 3
Source: RefSeq, a predicted model, not a curated record
UGAAGUGGAAGAUGAAUUGAUGCACAAUAAAGUUAAGGUGACAUCAGACACUUUAUCCAGAGUGAAUGUUCAUUCGAGUUAUUGUCUCUUGUGUGUCGUUUUUGAUUCAUUUUGUGUUCAGAGAUUUCAUUUGGAGUGAAAGAUGCCGAAUGAAAGACAAAAAAUUACAAAAAAAAUGAACCGUAAUUAACCGUAUGAACAAUUUAGGUAUAUGUGAUAUCGUGAGGUUUUUCAUAUAUUAGUAAUCUACACAGGACAUGUCAUUGGAAUGUUUUAAUGAGUAAGGGAGCACAGUUCUAUUACUUUUAUGGGUUAUCCGAUGUACCUGGACAGAAAUCUUAUUUUUGAAUGGUGUGAAAAUAUCACAGCCAAUCGUAGCGCGCGACCAUCCCCUAGUAGUUGCU